CCAUUGUCACAUCAUGCUAUGAAUGCAUCUUGUUGCUGUGGAGUUGAAUGAAAAAACCCUUUUACCAGUCGUUUUUGAAAUAUAGCAAGUAAUAACCUCGAGACUAAAUGAAAAACACAGGCUUCUAAUGAUAGUUGUUAACAAAAAUGUCCAUGUUCAAGAUUAAAAGGCCCUAAUAGUUGCCUAUUUUGGUAUUAUUGUGGAAAACUUACCAAUUUACCUAAAAAGGGUCUAUUUAACAAUGGAUUUACUUUUCUCUUUAGAUACUGUACCGAACUAGAUUCCCUGGUCACAUCAAUUCACCUAUACCCAAUGUGCUAACACAAAUUGUAAGAAAACAAUCACCCUCGCUUUAAGCCAAUAAUCAUUACAACAACACUGAUGCUCUACACCAGGGGUGCUCAAUACGUCGAUCGCGAUCUACCAGUCGAUCUCCAAGGUACUAUUGGUAGAUCGCAUGACAAGGUGAGGUGACAUUGUCAUGAACUGACGCUAUACAAAUAAAGUUGAGUUGUUUUGAAUAAAAAAACUAGACGUCAGCCUAUCAGCCAUCCCGUCACUUGAUUGAUACACAGGACAACCAGUCAGAUGACAUCUGAUUUUUUCCCCCGUACAAUUAGGUCACUGUGCGUGUUCAAACAACGCCCCUGAGCGCUGCAAAGCUAACAAGCUAGUCGUUAGUUACAUCCUAAUUUUUCGCUCGUUUUUUUCCUCUUAAACGUAAGAUAGGGUAUAAAAAUGAGUGGGGGAGCUGGACCAAGUAAAAAGAAAAAAACCUAUCACUUUCAUACGGAAUGGGAGGAGGACUUUUUUUUCACGAUGACAUUUUCAAAGUGCGUUUGUCUCGUCUGCCAGUCUACCGUCGCAAUAUCAAAGAAGGGAAAUGUUGUAAGUUGUAAGAAUCCUCAAUAUAUUUCUCAAUAAAUAUAAUGGGUAGAUCAUUUUGACUUGGUCAUUUCAAAAGUAGCUCCCAUGCUGAAAAAGUGUGAGCACCCCUGCUCUACACAAUCAUAACUUGUUAACUAAAACUAACAACUAAAUGUAGUAAAUAUUAAGGAAAUGUGCAGGGAACUCAUUCAUUAUUUUCCUGUCCUGGAAGAAUGGCGCCUUAGCAAGGUCAGUGGAGAUCAAGAGCCCACCCGAUCCACCCUUUUUUCCAGGGUAGGAGUGGAGUUAUGCCACUGGCUGGACAGAAGUGUCAAUUAUAGAAAUAUGUAUUAAAAUGUACCAUUUUUUCGAUGCUCCGAAAAAUGUCUUACGGUCAGCUUUUAAUAAACACAGUCACCAGGAAGGUUAAAGAAGUUAUUAAAACUAGUGGUGCAGUUCUGAUCAGGUUCUGUUCUGUGCUGUAGCAAAUAUAUUUUUAGCUUGGCACAAUUUCAUGUGUUCAGUCACUUGCCUGUGCUGCAGUCUUUGGGUAAGUUUACUGAUUGAAAACGGUAGUAUCAAUGGCGUUGCAGAAGUAAAUUGGGCACAAAGUAAAUCUAACAUGCAAUCGGCUGAUAAUGCAUUAUAUUGCAUUCGGUUACAGCUUUUAUUGUAAUCAACGCAUUUGAUACGGAGCAGAGUUCCUAUAAUUAUCUUUAGUUUCCAAACUAAGCAAUGCACGUGUUUCGUCAAAAGUCAUUGAUUGCCUGUUUUACAUAUUUCAAUUCUUGUUAAAAGAAUUUACAUGAACAUCUGGUGUGAAAAGCAAUGCAUUAUAAGCUUGUUUAGUGAAUUAUCAUGAACUUAGUUUAUUGUUUGUUUAUCAUGCACAUGUAGGGAAUUAAUUUCAAUGAUCAAUUGAGGACUACAGCAAAACAUUACUUUUCUCUUUGGCAAUCAACCAGUGUGAAUCGACGCACUCAUUAAGGCCAGCAUUGCAAUUGCUUGGUCGUGUUUCACUUUGAUUUAUUUUCAUCAAUAAAUCACUGUUGUUUGAUUAUAUCGUGUCGGUUGGUCUCAAGUGAUGAGAUGCGGCUGCAUGGCAUACUCGAAAAAGUAAUCGCGAGCAGAUGAGUGUUGUUCGCCGUCUGUAUUCAAAAGCUACAAUGUCACUUUUGCUGUGAACAUACUGUAUGGUGAGCUGCAAUAAUUGGCCUAGCUGGGCAUAUUUGACAGCUUCAACAAAAGCAAAAUAAAAUAAUUCUGAAAACGCUUUUGCCCACCAGUUGUUUUGGAAAAGGCCACUUGAGGAACAUAAAGAGCUGCAGGGAAUGUUUCUUGCAGGCAGAGUUUCUUUUGUGUUGUAUCAAUUUCUUAUGGCUGGCUGUUUUUACCCUACUCUGGUGAUGCAUAAAGCCCCCAAAACAUCCCUUAAGAAGCCAACCUCAAGGGUUUUUAACAUCGAGUGGCAAGUCGAUUGCUGUGGGAGUUUACAGUUCAUGCCUUUCCUUAAUUUAAGAAGGAUGUGUAAUUGACCCUUUUUUAGUGCAAAUUCUAUUUUGUAAUACAUUACUAGGGAAAUAUUUGUACAUGCUGCAUAGCAGCAUUUCUCAAAAUGUCCCAUAGACACAUGAAAACACUAAAAAGACCACAAUCUGACUGUUCUAAUUUAUGCUUAGUGGUCCACUGAAAACCAAAUUAAGUUUUUGUUUACGAAAACGUUAAAUUGAAUAUAGAUGAAUCGCCUUAAUUCAUCUAAAAAAAAUGAUUGAGCUUUCCGUAGAGAAAAGGAAAAAGGAGUUAAGAUUUGCCUUUAAAUCAUUUUCGAGGCUCAACCUGUCGAGCAUGUCUUUCAUAUACUCAUUAAUGGAGGAAGCUACCGGAUGGAUUGUUGUGUUGUUCAGAAUAUUACUGUCACGGUGUGGUUUUAUUUCCUGUCUUAUUUUGUAGUUUUCUGCCUCUUGUCUCCCUGGGUAACGUCACUUCCUCCCUUGUCCUGUCGUCCCCUGUGAUUGUCUGAUUGUUUCCACCUGUGUCCAAUCACCUGCACCGUCCCAGUGUAUUUAAGUCAUGUGUGUCAUGUGUGUCCCUGGUUCCUGUGCGAGUUUUUUGCCCCUUGGCCUUUUUGCUUGUUGCUUUUUUGCUUUUAACUAUUAAAGUCUUUUGUUCUCGAAGUCUGAGUUUGAGUCCUGCCUUCCACGCCCAACCCUGACAAUUACUGUAUGUGAGUCGGCUUUCCCUGAUUAGGAUAUAAUAUGCUGUUUAUUUUAGAGAAUCUCUUCCUUCAUACUAAUUAUUCAAACAAAUCUUCCUCUAGAAUGAACAGUAUAAUACUGUAUUCAUUUUUUUUUCUUAAAUGAAGAUCUAGGGAUUCUUUCAGCGGCGCAAAGCAACUGAAGUCAUUGUUCAGAGCAUUGAACUGACGGUAUCAAGCUUAGGCUAACUAAGUAAUGUAAUAUUGAUGAUAGGCAAUUACCCAUAAUGGUAUACAGCACUUUCUGGGGUUUCUCUCCUAUUAGCUACUUUAGUGGGAAAGCUUAGUUGUCUUCCCAGUAACAGAUACAGUUAGUCAUAAAGUUGGUUAACAGAUUUCAGAUCUACUUGAUAUUCUCAUCAUGGAGAGGUAUUAAUAAUAGACAAUGUUUUAUUUUGUCUUAGCUGGCCUUUUCACACCGAAAACAGGCCGCCAACCAAGCCAUUGUUUCUUUUACUUUCCAACCACUUUUCCUUUAACUGCAUAAACAUCAUAUGAGGCCAAGGAAACCUGUAAAGCCAUAUUCAUUUUGGGAUUUGUAAAGUUAUAUCCGCAGGGACCUUCUGCCUGUCGGAAAUACUUUUGAAACAAAUCUUUAUUCAUCAUGAUGAAGUACAUAGCAAAUGACACAAAACAAAACAUUACUAAAGUCCCUAAACUAACAUAUACAAUAUAAAAAAACUAUUUACAAUCAAUUAAAACAAAUUGAAAUGGUCUUAUCCAUUAAAAUAGUACUAAAUAUAAAAAGGAUAUAAAGAAAGGUAACAAUUAUGCAAUGUAUCUAUUAUUUACACAUAAGGCAAAGAAUAGUCAGAAUGGUAUUCUAUUAAGAAACUGAACUUAUAAUAAUUCCAAAAACAUGGAGCUUUUUUACAUUUUUCCGCAUGACAGAAAUAUCCAAAAUAUUUAUUAGAGGUGUGAACAUUUCUCACUUCUAAGAUGCCCUACAUUGCAAACAUUUACUACUGUGUAUCGCUGCAAUGAAAAUAUUCAGGAGUUGGGUUUACUUCGACUCAGUCCGAGUCUUAAGUGUGUUUUGCUGUCAUUUACGGUCCGUCACGCACGUUACUCUCUUCUCUAGCUCCUCUGAUGUCUGCUUCCACCGUGAGUGGAGUUUGCACACCGUCCCUGUGCCAGGAACUGAGAGACGGCCCUCGGCAGUCCAUUUGCUUGUUGCUUCAAGGUACCAAUAUUAGCAUCUCCGAUUCAACAACGUGGGGCGAAAAUGAAAAAAGUGCAUGCAGGCUGGAAUUCAACCGUGGUGUUAUUAAUCUUUUCAAUAGACGCGGUGACUUGAACCGGGUAAGAGUAGAAUUGCUAUGAGUGUAAAAUCUUCAUUUCAGCUGAAAAAAAAGAAGCACGUGCUAGUUUAGAAAAUUAGGGAUGCCACACAGUCCCAUUAAGAAUGAGUAUUCAGAUCUUAAGUAUUCAUAUACUUAUAGACGUCUACAUCUAACAAGUUUUCACAUGUUCUAAUACAUUAGAAUAUAGAUAAGAUUUCAAGAAUUCAAUUCAAUGCAGGGCGGUUGAAUUAAACUAGAUUUUUUUUAGCAACAAGGUAUUUUUUGUGGUUGUCAUCAAUUGAAUAUCCUCUUUUUCAUUAAAUAACUCCUAAAAAAGUUUUCGCAAAAACUAGGCAAUGAAAAUUAAAUUAUUUAUAAUAUUGAAAAGUGGAGCAAAACAGAAGUUAUUGCUGGAGGCAUUACCUGAUGUGGGAGCAGGAUUUUUCGGGAUACUGUAGCAUCUCGGGUGUAGUGCUACAAUACCAUACAUCUCCUCAAAGUUGAUGAGAUCUGUUAAUCAGUUCAACUGGCCAUUUGUACACAGUGUGGUUUCUUCUUUUCAUUUCUGCUCUCGACUUUGGUUACUCAGUUUAGUAUGAAGGGUACGUGGGUCAACGACUGUGUCUCCCACAGUAAGGGGAGGUUACAACUGUGAGUCUCAGAUAGCUUUCUGCCACCAGAACUAUCGGAUAAGUGGGCUGAGCUGGAGUGCAUGGAAGUAAUCUUCUUUUGAGGUGGGAUGGUUGUGAUGAGUCAAAGUGAGCAAAUGGAAAUAUGUUAUGGCUGCGAUGAAUAGCUUCGUCAGCCUCAGUGAGUGACCUUGAACCUCACUCAGUAAGUAUAAAGAGGUAGGCUCUAUCAUUAGUACAUUCACUUCCCUUCCAUUGAAAUAUGUUGUCUCCUAAUCACACAAUUAUCUCUGCCCAACAUUUUCUACAGGCCUGCGUUUCCCGACUGUUUAAAUUCACACACUGUACACUGCAAAUUCAAAAAAAUGGACAAAGGGGCUGACAAGUGAACACAUGUACAAUUCCCAGUAACAAAAGCCUUCAAUAAGUGUCGACCAACCCGACAACCACAGAUGAUGACAGGUAAAAAGUGAUAUGGCAUCGAGCAAUACAUUUGAUGGAUUCACUGUUCAUCAGACAACAAAUGAGACAAGGAUUACAAUCUGUGUCUCCACCGCAUUCCCCGCCUGAGGGACACUACUUUAAAGGGCGGAGAUUGAUGGAUGGUCAUAACAUGGUAGAAUUAGCAGAGGGAUAUAAGAUACCCAACCAUCCAAAUGUGCUGUGACUAUAUUUCUACACGGCAGUUACUGAACAAGUAAAGACAACAAACAGUUGUGUUUGGGAGAGGCAAGAAGAGGCGGUUUGGUUGAAGGGAAUUAGCAUUCCCCAUAUUUCAUGACGUAGAUUGGUCCCAAAUGGUCAACUCAAUCUUAGAAUUAACAUUGUGAAACUCAGAUUUUAGAGAAUUUAGAGGGACGUGUAAUCAUGGGUGACUGUAUAAGAGGAAGUCUUGCAAAUGUAAAUGUUGUAUAGAAAGUGUUGAUUGUUAAUUCUCAAUGUUUCCUGAAGGCAACCUGGUUGAAGAUGGCUUUCAGUGUUCUUCUUUAACCUGUCACUCAUCAUUACGCGCCCUUCUCAGUUGAUGCCCCUGUUUAAGUUAUUUACUAAGCUAACCUUUUGCCCUGGAUUUGGCUGCAUACUAUUGGACAUUGUAUUAAUACCGGUGCAUGUACGGCAGGAAAUGUUUUUGAAAUCUGAAAAUAAUAAAGCGCUAAAAGGCUAAAUGCAGCUCUGUGAAAAACCCACUUAGAUGGAGUGUUGCCAGCAUGGAUAUGGGAAUAUAAUGGGGGGCUUGGAUGUGGAAUGUGUAAACCUCAAAAAAACAAAAGAAUAGACUUUAAAAAAACGUGUCAAUAUAUUAUUUUAACAAAUCUAGGUUUUCUGCCAUUUAUAAUGAAUAAAUCCGUCAGUGAAACUUACAGAAAAGAGUUUGACAGAUAAAACUCGAAAUUUGAGAAAGAAAGGAAAAGUUAGAAGUAGCUAAAGUAAUUGCUUGUCAAUAUUAAAUAUUGAUAUUUCACUAACUUCAGGGUGCUAAAAUGGCUGGAAAAUGCGCUUCGCUUGUACCACGUUCUAUAGUGCAAGAAUUCAUUCGUGGCAACCAAACAUUAAACUGUCAGAUUACAACAAUAACCAAGAAAACGUAGGCCCUCCCAACAUUAAAAGCUAUCGAUUCAAAAAAGCUGUCGCUUUCAAAGAAAAAUUGCCUCAGCAAUUGAUCCAUCACAGUGCGAUCCGGUACAGCUGAGAGAUGUUUAAGGAUGUGGCUUCCUCUCAUAGCGACUGCCAUGCCGCUACGAUCACUCAUGAGUGUUCAAGUGUCAACAUGGAUUGAGGUAGUACAAAGAAAUAUUGAAGGAUCAUCUGUCUUGAUCAAAAUCAUUAUUCAUUUAUUUUAUUCCAACAUAUAACUAUUGAAAAUAAAAAUCAAACAUUAUUGAUUACGCUAUAAAAGGAUGUUACCUAUUUGUCGAUGUAUACAACUUUAGUUGAGCAGUGACUAAAUCAAUCAACAGUAAAUUGAUUAGUUGCAAAGAAAUGCAAUGAGUUGGGUAUUUUUCUAAGUGACAGACAGACAUCGCAGUUCCGGCUUCUCAACUGUGGGUGUUUAAUGCUUGUUAUUUUGUCAUUACUGUGAACUGGAUAUCUUUGAAUUUGGAUGGAUGGUUGAACAAAACAGAUGAAAACUGUGAGGGACAGUUUAAGUGAUUUACAUGAAAUUUUAUAAAUGAUUAUGCAAAAGAACAAAUGAUAACAACUUCUGAGAAUGUCCAUGCAAAGUUAACAGCAAAGUAUCAUAGUCAAGUCAAGUAUCAUUUCAGUUACAUUAUCAGCAACCCAAUGCACACAAACCUACAUAAAUAAAUAUAGAAAACAACUUGCAAGAGGAAGUUUAAGAUUUGACAAUGGCACCAAAAUAGCCCUCGUAGGAAGCUGCCUGCAUUUUAAAAAUAAAAAAGACCCAGAGUGCACUUCUGUAGCCCCUCAGAGCUGUCUCUGCAGAGGCAGGGCAUCUAGAUAAAUAGCUUUAAUACCCCAGUGUUCCAAUAACGGAGGAACAGUUGUUUCCCAUUGAAGGCUUAGGGGUAUGACGGACGCAUAGACACCCACCUUUGGAAAGCAGGCUGACAAACCCCCCUGUGCUGUCUGAGCCAAAGGCCUUUGACCCGUUGAGACCCUGGGGGACAAUGACCCAGCAGCACCAGUGGGAAAAGUCCACGCAUGCUAGAGGAACAAAAGGCUGGCUAAUGCACUGUUUUCUCUUUUCAAAUCCUGGUGGGGGCAAUCUGACCUUCUGCCUCUUGUUCCAACAUGGUGAAAGCAGCAACCACUAAGACGUCGACCUCUAGAGCCUUGUCCUCAACGUCACCCCCCCCCACACCCGGCCCCCAAAUGCAUGCACUUUUGAGAUGUAAAAAAAGAUAAGGUAAUUUACUCCGAUGUGUGAUAACAGUUUGAAUGCCCUCCCAUUUCGAAAUGCAGACUAUGCAAUCGUUUUUGUUUUACUCGUUCUAAUGUCAACACACCUACUUCAGCCGAGGAAAUGCUGACACUUUUUAAUUUGCCGAUAUGCUUCAUGAAAACAGACCAUUACUCUUCAAAGGGCUACGAGGCCCAUCGUGAUGUUUCCUUUGAGCACAAAGAGUCCAUAACUUGUAAAGGAAAUGGAAUGCAUUGAUUCCACACGCUGCUGCUUGUUCAUUAUUACGUUUCGUCAUGCCUUUGUCUGUCGACAUAAUCAACCUGAAUAAGAACCGCGAGCUCUCUGAUUUUAAAAAUAAACCUUGUCUUUGAAGCCUAAUUUACAUUGCUGCUGGAUAACUGCCAUGUUUCUCCCACAAUCAAAUGAACAGUCCAACUAGCAGAGAAAGACCCAAUCAAUUAAAAAUAGACAUAUUUGAAGGGAGCGAAAAAUAACAGUUAACAGUGUCACAGAUUUCUUUUUGUCCUCAAAAUAGGUCCUUUUAUCCUAAUUAGCUGAAGUAAAACCUUUCAAAUCAUGUGCAAAGGUGUAGUUUAAAUCAAUCAAUUCAUUUACAGUAUCUUAUAUAGACGUGUUUAAAAAGCGCUUAAAAUGUAUUUAUUGCCUUCACUCUUCCAACUUCUCUUUCAAGAUAUUGACACUGGAAAAAAAGAUCAGAAAUCACUUACUAUGCGCUCCAUCAUUUUCCAUUUUUCCUUCACAAAGGACGGAUUAGAGUUCAGAUGAUAGCCAUCUUGGUAAAUUAAGUAUUUGCUGAAAUUCCCGCGCAAAAACACAGAAGCUUGGUGCUGGACAUGGUGUCCAUCAUCAUUCUGGUGUGAUCGAGUGUGCAAAACCUCAAUGUUAGGACAUCACACUUUCCUUCCAAGUGGCUCUAUUGCAUUUGAUAUUAUGGCGGCAAAUUAUGGAAUCGAAACCAGAGCGAGAGCAUCAAGAAUAAUAAAGCUCUACAGUGCAAUUCUAGGUCAUGGGUGAAAAAUGUUUGCAUUUGAAUGGCCUACGUGAUUCGGCUAGGUCAAGCAUUUUUGUAUAUGUCACCGAAUGUUUGUACAAACCCCUCCAGUGUAUAUUUCAUGGAAGAAACUGAAGUGUCACAUUGUGCAGAGUGUUGUUUUUUUAAAAGCUACUUACUGCUUUUGAAGGGAAGGGAAAGAGAUGAUUCGACCGGUCAACAGUGACACCACAGCACUCACAUGAGAGGGCCACUCAUUCACCUUAAUAACAGCCAGCGCAGGCCGCUGACAAGCAGACAUUCAACAUCAUGCGGGAGCAAAAGAAAGUUUGUUUCUCCGACCAACUUACAAUGUGUUACUGGUGUAAUUGGUCUGUUUCAACUGCUCUUCCAUUAACAGAAAAUCAGCAAAUUUUACUUAACAUAUUUUUAAGUUGCAGAGCUACCAACUCUCACGGUUUCGCCGUGCGACACACGCUUUUGCAUGUUUUCACACGCACUCACGCCACACAACCAAUUUGUCACAGCAAAAAAAAAAAUCUGAUUUUGGGCCGAAGCGCAUUUGUUCCUUUUCAAACUCCCCGACGAUAGAUGGCGCUAAGGAGCGCAUCUGUUAACCUAUUCGCUGCAUAGACAUCCUGUUUACCCCAAAGAGUCCCGAAGUCAGCAACAGAAGAAGGUUUUAAAACAGCCACAACCGCGGGAGAAACUCAGGAGGAGCAAAGACUAAGGUGUGUUAAUGACAUGUGGUUCAAUUAAGUACUCACUCUCUUAAACUUAAACUUAAACUAAAUCUUAAAAGAAAUUAUUGGUUUUGUUUGUGCGUGUGAUUUUGAGUGGUGAACGUAAACUCAGCUGUCAUAACAAGCAGCAGGAGAGCACCUUGUUAACCUCUUGGUAUACUGCAAGGCUGCUCACAUAGCAUUUGUCAUUUUUUGCUGAACAUAAAUCAUUAAGUGCUCUUAAGAGUACAAUUAUUUCAGUUAAGAAUUAGUUGAAUACCAUUGUAAUCAAAAUGUCAAUCAACCUAAAUUGGUCAAAUCUUAAAAACAGGUCUAUUAAUUAGGCUAUAUUGCGGUACAUAGACAGUCAUUGAGGCACAGCAAUAGUUUUCUGGUUGAAUUGUUCAGCUCAAGUCUAGAAGGCCCCACAAGUCAUGAGCAGAUGAACAUGAAUCAGAAUAAGUUCAGGCAUACCACCCAAAAAUCCACUAGAAAGCAUGAAAUAACAUCUACUUAAACCAAAAUGUCCUGGGGGUGGACCAUCAGCUAUGUAUUUGCUUCACAGAAUGUAACCAAUGUUGUCCAUCUCCAGUAGGCCGCCCCUAUCAACGACUUUGGGCCCCACAAACCACCAGAAUGCAGGGUACAACAUGGCUACUACGCCAAAUGAAUUCCAAUUUCCUGAUAUUUGAGCCACCAACGUGUGUGGCUGCGUGCGCGGCAAAAUUUUGGUCACCCCCGACAAAAUCUUACUCCAAGGUUUUUUGAAAAGUUGGCAGCUCUGAAGUUGUAAUCGAUAGACAGAGGCGGAUAGAUUAGCGGUAAUGAACAACUGCUGUGAAUUUACAAAGAAUAUACAGGCCUGUCAUGCCCCUUAAUAAUACCCUCAAUGGACUUGGGUGAAAAGAGCCGAAAGCGAGACCUGAUGUCAUCCGAACGACAUGUUGCCUAACUUGUCUGUUCAGUGUGGAAGGUAUGGCGAGCGUGGGGGGGGUGGGGGGCACAUAAGCGCGGGAUAGAGAGGCGUUCGCGUAAGAAACACUUUACCUUUUUGUUUGAAGUUUGAAUUGUUUACAACUUAAUGUAGGGGCCAUGAAAAGGUGUUUACACAGGUGUGUGUAUGUGUGUGUGUGUGGAUUGUGCCGUUUUCCAUCUGAUGAAGGACAGUGUUGAUCAAAAAUUGUAUAUUUUUUGAAAUGCCUGGUGUGGGUGAAAUCAUAUGGCCUUAAGACAAUCAGAUGUAAAUCAAAAUAUGUGCGAUUGAUAAAAGUUGUUAAUCGUUCAGAUUUGACCCGUGGCAACAGGAGGCUUAAGAAGGAGGAUCGUAGUUGAUGGCAGCUGGCAAACAAAACCGUGAGCACCGAGCUUCUUCCAUCUUCCAUCUGCAACUGACAAACAUCAUCCAAUCAGCUAAAAAAAACAAGAAAACACAAAGAGAGUAUGCAUGUCAAUCUCCUGCCACGCCUAGGAUCUACACAUCUCCUCCCCGAUAACUCUCACACCAGCCAGUGUAUUUUUGGUACUCUUGGUAUACAGCUCAGCUCAGUGUUUGUAAAGAAGGUUCGGGUUACACACUCAUCCGUGUUGCCUGAUGUAAUCAACAUGCAAAUAUCUGACGCAAUCCGCUAGGAUGAAUUAAUUGCUGAAGUUGAUGCAAAAAAAAAAACUGUUUCAUUUUGUUUUCAGGUAAAUUGAGCACUUUUGGGCUACAUCCAAGAUAACAGUUGAUGUGGAAUCUGGAAGUUUGCCAUUUCUUUUAAGAAACCAAUAGAAAAUGUGGAAAAUGCGUAUGUUCUCUAAGCUUGAUGUUGAAUAAAAUAUGUGCAAAUCUGGCAAAAAACGGCCUUCAAAGCGUGCCCACGCUCUUUCUUUAACAGACUAUUGGCAUCGUUAAACAGCUUCCACGCGACCUGACAAAAGUGCUCUUUUGUGUGAUUCAUAAUACGCCGCGGAUUGCUAUAUCAACCAUUUGUUGACUCACAUUAAUUAUGGAGCCUUUGAAUCCCGAACAAGUCUAUGUUUGGGAAGGGAAAAAUAUUAGAAAAUGACAUUUACUGUAGUUAAAGCGCAGGGAUGUUUCACUUCAAACCCAUGUUCCACCUUCCAGACAGCCAAUUGCAGACCACAGACAUGUAAUUGGCCAAAAGUGUCGGUGCUACGUCCAAACGACCUCUUCGUUUAAACUUCUCUAUUCAGCUUCUGCAGAUGCGGUUUGGUGUUCUCGGCAGUAAUUACAAUGAAGUGAGAGGACCAGGCCUCUCUGAGAAGGCACCUAGGGUGGCUCAGAGGUGAUUGCAGUCCCCGCAGUUUGAGGCGCGGUCUGCUUCAAAGGGGAAGUUAACCUUGACAAGACAGCAGCCUCUUUUUGCCCGGCGGGAAGCUACCGGGAGGGCAAAGGGCUCUUCUUUCUGCCCACAUUGCAUCACUUGGACCUAGUGGUAAAUGUCACUGAGGGCCACACCUCAGCCAGAAGGAGAUGUUACAGGGACAGAGGCGAUAGGGACCUCUCCGAGAGGUUGGACAGUCUUUGCCACGGGGGGGGGAGGGGGGGUUUGAGUCGAUUCCGACGGGCUCCAGGCAAAACCAUCUUGGCUCAUGUGGUAUUUUAUUUUUACCCCCCAAUAAAUAAAGGUUUGAACAAAAAAAUACUUUUACUAUUUUUAUGGUGUGCAUUUAUUCCUUUAGGUGACACCAAGAAAUCUCUGAAACAGUUUAUUUCAUUAAAAGUACUCAUUAUAUUCAAUAGUGUAGCAUAAUUACCUUCCACACAAAAUAUCGAUGUAGAUAGCUGUUAUUUAUGAUAUAAUGUAUCAACUAAUUUAGUCAUUAUGCAUAUUUUCUGGUUAGAACUAAAUAUGAUAAACAUUUCGGAGCUUCUUUACAACAACUGUACCCACAUUUCAAGGUGUGCCGUUUGGCAUUUGAUUAGAUAUUACAUUUCAUUACAGAAGCCAUCACUCAUCAUUCAAAUUAUAUUCUGUAUGCGUUGUCACAAUUUGCUUCCCAAAAAUGAGACCGUUAAUAUGUGUUUUGAUUAAAAUAUACUCUUGCCGGUGUGCCAGGUGUAAAACAGGAACGUUUACAUGGAUUAAAAAUCUGAAUGAGUUCUUUAGUGGGGUGCUUGUGUCAAACUAAUUCAUUUCAAACACUGUCUGUACUUUUAAAGACUAUGUCAAAGUAUAAAUUACCACACAAUGGCUUUAUAUGCCAACUGUACUUUACUGCUUCCUUUGUAUAUAGUGUUUUGGAGGGCAUGUUGCACAAUAAGGAAAAUAUUACUGGAGGUAUGUUGAUGUGCCACAUUUCUCAUUUCUAACCUCUAUCCGGUUUGCUUCUUAGAAAGGGUGAUUUGCAUUUUAUCUCAAUAAUAAAAAGAUUGCAUUGGCAUAUUCUCAAUAUCGCGUAACUUCAAUUCAACUACAGUGUAAUACUAGUGGCCAAACUUCUCAAGUCAGUUUGGACCUGAUGAUCAAAAUGCUGCAAGGUCAAUCGCCAUUCUGCCAUUUAUUUAGUCAAUUUGCCCAUUGCAUUUACAUGUAUGUUUGAGAUUCUUUAAAGCAACCCUUCCUAAAGUGAGUAAUAUUUCGUUUUAAGUAUGUAACAAAAUGUUCUUUCUUUCUUACUGUGUGACCACAAGAAAAAAUCAUUACAAUCCAUCAUACAACUGGUUAGAUUAAUGAAACAAAACCAUACAAACGGUAUGGUAACAUGGUAUGUUUCCCAUUUGUUAAGACUUGUCAGCCUACUGUCCUGAUUAAACUUUUUUAACUUUACUGAAGGCAGUGAAGGCAGCUGUCAUCAACUUAUAUUCCAGCGUGCAACUUCCUUGUCAUCUUUUGCUGCUUUUCUCAUUUGUCGUAACCUCAGUGUAAACUUUACAAAACUCAACUCAACAAUCACUGUUUUGCAAUACAUCAUGUGCUGUUUAUACGAAAACACAACAAACCAACCUCAGUCCAGUCUGAUGCUGACAGCUUGCUCUUAGUAAUAUCACAGAAAACAGCUGUAGACUGUUCCGGAGACUGCUUUAAUGAAGGUAAAUUCCUACAUCAACUUAUCAGAGUGUGAGAAAACAAGAGCAGUAGCGCUACUUUUGUUCAACAAUUAGUGUCUCACACUCGACGUGCACAGCAACCCUCAAUACGUGUUGUCCAACAACAAAAUGACAGGGUGUUUACCAUUAAUCUAAAUGUCUGUAUAUCUGCAAUGGCAUUCCUCCAAAACUUACUACAGUGCAGCUAAGAGAGAUUUUAUCACCAGAGUAAAACUGUUAUGUUUUUUCAGCAUGACGCACACUUGUCAGGAAUGGAUAAUUACACUCGGCAAACUGAACCAACUCAAGGAGGAGAAUGGCUGCAGGUGAUCCGCAGACGUAUUAGGACAUCUGCUUAAUUUAUUUAAAUGAAUACAGUUAUCAAUUUGAUUUCCCUUUUCCUUCUCCCUUCAGCGCUCUCUGUUUCUCAUACGAUUUUGACGUUUGGAUCAGCACUUUUAGGCAAGCUGCUUACAUAAGCCCUCUUAUACAUCGACUGUAUUACAUUCCUUUUCGCCGUUGAUGUAACAUUGGCACCACUGGCCCAGAGAACUAGCAGUCUUGAGUCUGGUGUUCAAAACACUAACUGCUAGGUUGCAAAUAGUCAAAUUAACAAAUGAGACUCCAAUGCUCAGUCCCUGAUCCUGAUGUGUUCAUGCAUGUCGCUGAUUCAAUGCACCGCCAGAGCAUGCAAGAGCUUGGAGCUGAAUUACUAGAUUAGUCCAUCAUUGAUUUGUCAACCGACUCAACUCAUGCAAAUAAUUAACUUGCAAAGAUUUGCUUUGUCUAAAGCAAUUGUAAACUGUAUACAUCCCCCCCUGUGCAUAUCUACUGCAUCCUUGUCAUUCCAAAUUAUAGAUGUACUCGAUGAGAACAUCAUGAUGUUAGCUAAUCUGUAAAACUCUAUGAGGUCAAAAUGUCAGAAGAGAAACAGAAGAGCAUGCACAUCUAAUGUGUGAUUAAGUUGCAUAAUUACAGUUUUGUAUGAUAAUCUAUCUGAAUGACUGCUGCAGCCAUCCACUACCACUCCACAGUAUUCCCCCCAUAGCAGCAAAGGUAACAGAAUGUCAAUGAGCUAUAACACCAACCAGUGACUGAGAACCACUCUCUGAUGUCCGUUCAAACUUCACCUUAUGAAAGCAAUGACAUAUAAAGAUGAAUCCACAGCAGAGCUGAUCUUCCUUAAGCAUCACAAGCAGCGGAACCAAGCCAAACCAAAAUAAGCCACAACAAACAUCCGGUCUCUAAAUACUGCCCCAUAAACAAACAUCCAACCACCAAACUGUAUCACAUUACUCAGUUAAUCGAGGAAGGCAUUACCUUUAGAAGAGUUCCCUCCAUGACUUUGUGAGUGCAAACUGAUCCAUCCGAUCUUCAAAUUCUAUCGAUCACUCCGGGACGCACUCCAUAGGCAGCAAUGACCGUGCGCAGUCAGUCAGAUCUGGGCCAAUGACAGGAAGGUACAAUCAAUGCCAAACCCCCUGAUGGUGAUUAAAUAAACUAUUCUCCUGGUGCAGUUUGCUGGACGGAAGCCAUGCAACAGGUCACUGGUAAGGGAAGAUGUUUCCUUGCAAGGUCAGAGUCUCAGAAAUCGGUUCAGAAAGUCUUUAUUCAGACGUCUAGCCGACUUCAGAGGUGUUUUCACUGACACAAAGUUGAAAUAUUGGUAAUGUCUUGAACUUGUAGACAGGCCAUUCAUCUCUUUCUGGAUGCUAGCUAAUCGGGUAUUUGAUGCGAAUAAAGUUGUUAAUUGGCUGCAAGACAAGCUUAACUUUUUGCAUCAUUGUCAGACGUCUGUGAGCAAACAAAGCUCUUACUAUGGGCCAUUGAGUCCAACAGGUGUACAGAGUUUUGUAGUUUUGUAAACUCAAAUACCUCUCUGCUUUCAAUCGAUUGUCUGUCCUUCUUCGCUGGUCUGACCGGCUUGUUUUAGACUAUUCUGAACACACAACCUGAACAUGUAACGUAACAGCUCAACACACCACUGCUUCCAUCAGUAUUUCGACACCAAAAAAUAUAAUAUAGUUUAGCUCCCAACUAUAGCCUUACUCAGUCUAAAACCCAUUGAAUACACACAUGUCUGUGUGUCUAAAACACAUAAUACAAGUAUAACAUUUUUUUUUAUAUGAGUUAAUAAUAAAUAAUGAAUUGAUUAUUCACUACUGGAUUGGAUAGUAGAAGCCCCUGAGCAUUUCAUUGAAUAUUAUACAACAAUUGUUUUGUUUGCAAAUCCCUAAUUACGGCUCUCACGAGGCUCUAACAGCGUCCCACUGGAUAACACCCACGGGAUAUGUUUACAACUGAUUCAAUGUUUACAGUCUGUUUCCACAAGGUUUACAAUCUGAUUUACAUUCGGAUGACAGUAUUUGUGUUGCCUGGGUAGUUGUACUACAAUCAUGCAUCAUAGAGACCAGAAUACGUAAUAUUGCAAACGGCUCAGUUUGGUUGGAUGCAUACCGUAUUGUUGCAAAAGAAACAAUCUUGCUUGAAAUUUGGCCUCUGAAUUGGUUUAAUACAUAUACAUGUCUCUCGCUGCAUGUACUUUCUGUGCUUACGUCCUCUCAGUGUGCCCACAAUACACCAAACUAUGGAACCUUGAGAGGGCCGAGCUGAAUAGAUCUCUUUUGAAAAUAAGGCUCUGAUGGUUCUUACCUAGGAAAAAGGUUUGCCUCGUGGGAAAAGCUUUUUCUGAGCUUUUCAAAGGGAUACAAGAUAAAGCUAUCAUUAGCAUCUCCUUGGUAUGAGCUGUGACCAAGGAUGCUGUGCCUGUGAAAACAACACUUCCUGUGACAUUCCACAGUUUGAUUCUCUGCAGUAACCUUGGCAAUUGCCUCAAUCACAGGGAAUUAAUUCCAGUCAUGCCACUCCCUCCUCCCCCCCGGAGUUGUAUCGGGCCCAUGCAUCGUACUACUAGCCCUGAUUCACUGUGAAUACCAGCCAAGCCCAACGAUUUUCAGGUCCCCAGGCCCUUAUUGCUAUCUGUCUGCCUCCACUCUCAAAAUGGGCCAGUCUUUUGUCUGCACACACGUUACAGCUGCCAGAUUGUGGCAGAUUUAGGCCCUUUUUUUAUUUCCACACUCACAGACAAUGUCAAAAUAAAAAGCUUUUCUUUUCUUAACAAUGUUCAGCCCAUAUAUGAGAAUGUGCACAUCAACCUUCAAAUGUAUGAGGUAAUCCCCGGUUUCAAAAUGUAGAAAACCGACAGAUAAAAGAUUGAAGACAAUCUUUGGGCUGUAAGUUUAAUUGUUUCUAGCAUGCGUGGACAUAUUGUUGUACACAUUUUUGCCAUUGAAUAUGAUUUUAAACUUGGAAAUUUAAGCUGUCACUAUAGCAACACGCAUCAUGUUUCACAUCUAAUGUAUGAUAUUUUUUCUGCAUCAAAUUAAGGCCAGCAUCGAUUUAACAAUAUUAUAGGCAAGUUAUAACAAUUUAGUUUAGUUAUUAUUUAUAAUGUGGUCACAGUAAAAAUAGUUAACAUUUUACAGCAGAUGUCCUACAUCAAUGAAUUUCUGGAUGAACAUUCCGUCACAAGGCCUUUGUCUUGUAGCUUAAGUAAUGUUUAUUACUCUCUUUCUCAAUUCAGAGUCUAUUAGGCAAACAGCAGCUGCUUUUUCUCAUUGUGCUGAGUGCAGUCAUGGCACUAAACUCGCCUAUUAUAAAGACCAUGUAGUUGCGCCAUCCAAAAUAUGUGAUGCUGUGAUACCCGGCAGGUUGCCUUAUUUCGACUGCUCCACCUUUUGUAGAGCACAAUUAAUCAGCCACCUCACAUGUGUUAGAUAAAUCCUUUUAAAUACUGAGGUACAUUCAAGAACUCUCUUAUUUGGAGGCUUUUGUAAUGCCAAACUGCACACCUAGGUUGACCUUUUACAGGCUUUCUAUUUGGUCCCACUGGAUAAUGGCCCCUUUAUUGGAAGCCAUGAUCCAAAAUUGUAUAGUCCUCUGUUGGGAAGGUUUUGAUGAGUCAUUUUUGACUAUCAGGGGGCGGGGGGUUAAUUCACAAGAGGGACGUUGUGCUUUUUAAACCCAAAACAAACCAAAAGAGCUUUUUGCGAUUUGAGAUUGCAUGCGCUUUCCUGCUCUCGUCCUCUCCCUGUGACUAUGUGGGUUUCCAACAGGCCAAAGACUGCAGGAUGUACAAUAAGGUAAAUUGGAGGCUGUGAAUAUGUUUUUAGAUGGGAAUGCGAGUGUGCGGUUUAGUGUCUAUUAUUUUAGACCUGCAGUAUAUAGCUGACCUCGCACUGCCUUUUGUCCUGUGAAUGUUGGAAUAAACUCCAUCCCACCAUGACCCUGAACAGGGCUCCGGUGUAUGGAUGGAUGGGUAAAUCACAAGUGAAUCAAACAUUGCAUGUUUUAACACAUGGGAUUUAUAAAAAGAGACAUUUUCUCCAUAUUUUUCAGCCCGUUGUUGUUAGUGGUUUUAUUUGCAAACUUCUGCAUAAUGUAUAUCCCGUAUGGAUUUGUGUCAGGGGUAAGGGGAAAUGAUGUAUGUAUGCUCAUGCAAAGGACUGGAGACUGGGAGGAGGUGGGGGUCGAGUCUACGGUGGGAGGUUGUCUUGGACCAAAGGCAUCUGUCUGGGAGUGGCUGUAAUUGGGUGGAGUGUGGCGUUUUCUCAUUAAUAUGGAGCCCAGGGGAAGUUGACAGCCAACUUCCUCCCUCUGUGUUUGGUUGUUUGACUGUAUCUCCAUUGAUGCUAAACGCAGUGCUCCCAGGGCGCCCCAUGCCUGUUGCCUGCUUCGUUAAAACCAAGAAAAUGAAUAUUAAUGUCACGCGGACUUGAAGCUGCCAUAGCAGAAGGGCAUCGUCAGUCUAAAGGCUGUUCCAGACGUUUUGUGGGUGUACUUAAUAGGGAGUAUUCGGGAGGGUCCAAUCCCGCAGGGCGGCAUGCGCUACAAAUAUGUGCUGUCUUUUUGACACCUUAAUUUCCUGUUCACGGGGGAUUGCGGCACAGUGUGUUCCAAAUGAAAUAUACGGAAACAUUGGCCGGCUCUUGAUCACUCGGAAAUAGACAAGAGAAACAUGCUAGGUCUGAUUACUUUGUCUUAUUUCCAGUGUCCACAUGAACACCACAAUACGUUUUGAGAGUGCAAAUAUAUAAUUAUGAAGCUCACCUGCAUAGAGUGAAGUAAAUUGAAAAAAUCUGUGUGUGAAUGGGCAACCUUCAUCUUGGGAAGGCAGUAAAUAUAGUCAAUAACCGCCAGAAUAACAUUUAUCACAGCAACCACUGUCUGUCUACAAUUUACUUGACACAGGAAACACCAGCAAGUUCACCCGUGGACGUAAGUCACCCAGAGAGCAGAAUCAUACACUCUUUUUCCAGAAGAAAAAACUAGCUGAAAGGACACAGAUCACACCAGAAAUGUGAACUUCAUUCUCUAUGACUUACCAGCACACAUUUGGAGAAGAGAAGCUGCUGGAAAAACAUGACUCUCGACACUGUGAGGAACAGUUGGACAUUUUGGGAUUUACACUUAGUCACUUUGUUGCGUUAGACAAGAAAUAGAACGAUUCCGCUCUUAUCUGAUUGUUAAUUAAGAAGCCCAAGCCAGGAGACUGUUAGCGUAGCUUAGUAAAGCUUUAUACCGUCUCUUUUGGACUUCUCAUCAAACCCUUGGCAACAUGAAUAAGCGUAUUCCCAAAAUGUCUAAUUAUUCCAUAAACAUCCAUUCAUCCAGUGUAAUUCUGUUUCACGCUGUGCAGACCUGCUGCUUCUGCACUCCAAUCCAAAACUACAGCCGGCGCUGUAUGUUUUGCAUAGAGAAAAUGUGAAAUGCAGCGGUCAGGAUUUUUAGAAUAUGAGAUUAAGGUUCAGUGAAGAGACUUCCUCGAAGUACGAAUAAGUCAUUCCCUCCACCAGACUGCUAUCUGCCAGUAAUAGGCUGGUUAAUUAUUAAUUAUUAAUACGUGGAAUUCUCACUGGGGAGCUACCCUGGAUCCUCGGAGCAGACAUCCGUACGGGGACGUUCAAGGUCAAAGUAAAUAGGUAGGUAAGGAUAAAGACUGGGAAAUAGCUAAGAUUGGUUCAAAACACGGCUAUGUGGAAGGCUUCACUAGCCCUGCGGUCAUAUCGACUCUUUUAACAGUGAUUUUCAGCAGCAUUAAUAAAACUUCAAUUAACCAUCAGGGGUCUGUCUUCCAGCUCACCUCCCUAAUCUAGUUUGAUGGAAGCAGUUAAAGAAUCAGCAGAGCCUAUUUAAAAACAAAAACCUCCCACCUUAGUGGUGAGAGAGUAUCCGGCGCUAACAGUUAUAGCAGUGAUACCCUUUCACUGUCGGACAAGGUGUGAAAGGCCGCAUCGCGUGGCUUCACAAAUUCUUAACCCUGUUUCUCUUUAGCUUCCCGAAUAAUUUGUAGCUCCACAAACACUACCAUGAUGUUGGCCUGAUGUCACACUGGUUAAUUGGGUCUGACCCCAGAUGCUAUUCAGGCACUUUGAAGAGAGAAACCCAACACGCCUCCUUAAUUGAUGCAAGCAACACCCUAGCACACAAACCAUUGUGGAAGGAUGUACUGAUCCCCGGCAUUACAAAGGCCUUUAAGGCCCAUUGCUGUUCUUCUCCGAGCAAAUUGGAUGUUUUUAAUGAGGGACCACCCUGUCUCUCAAACAUUGUCUGAGCAACAGCUGGAUUCUAAGCUCUAAAAGCAAUGAUAGAUGUUCAUUCUGUAGCAGGUCAGUUCUCAAAUAUAUGUUUCCUUUCAAUCUUCUUUAAAUUAGUAGGAUAAUUUAAGUAUGUUAACUAAACGUCGACAUGCAAAUUGUAUAUUAUCUGUUGAAGUUUAUGUUAGGCUGUAUAAUGUUAUGCAGUAUAAUGAAUACAUUAACUUAUGAAGGCCCUCGAAAAUGAGGUAAUACGCGGGCUCUCAUAUUAAUCUUUUCAAAAAUAAACGGCCGUUUUGAAAAAGGUUUUCCUCUUGUCCAAGUUAACUCCUCUGUUGAAACCCAAAUGUGCUGAGGAAAAAGAAUUAUCUCAACAAUUGUUCGCCUCAGACAUCACUCUCCGUCUUUUCCUCCAGGGGUGUCUUCAGAACGUUUGAGGGACUUGAAGGACCAGUGACCAGAGAGCAACAAUGAUCACAAUGCCAUUUGUGAGCUCCAUGGUGCGUAUUUAAUAACAUAACAGCAUAAUUGCAACACUUUCUAGAACAUAAUCUUUAAGUCUAUAAAAGGAAAAUUGCUCAGAAAAUCACACCUCAGCCCAAAUACAGUGUUGUUGCUUGGGUGUUGUGAUGUCUGUCAUGGCUUUCAUCGGUUGUUUUUGCAGAAUGGUAGUCAGGUGGGUUUUCAAAGGGCAUUUCAUGGACCAGCGCAUUGUGUCCCUCAGAGCAGACAGACAUUCUUAACCUUAACCAUACUGUUCUGUACCCUGAGAAGGACCUGAGAACCCUUGGGAACUUGAGAACUUCAUAUGAAAGUCGUAUCUGUUGUUUUAGGACGGUUUAGUAGUUUAACACUCAAAUGUAAAACACUUACGGUCCAUUGUUUUAAUAGCUGUCUAGCAUUAUAAUCAUAUCUGACUCAGAUCUCACUUGCUGCUCCACCUCAGCAACUGUACUCUGCAAGUACAUGCAACUGCCCAGGGCCACUUGCUUUAGCGUCUCUAUACUACUAAGCGGCCAGCUGCUGCUGCCUUUUAAUACUGUGUGAAUAAGUUCAAGAAUUAUUUUUUUGUAUCCCCCGAUACAUUAACUGAAAGGUUUACAGUUUCAGGAUGAUGGACGUCAGAUAGCUUCAGGAAAUGCCUUCAAAGAAUGCAAGCUCACCUGUACAACAUUCUUCUCUUAAUAUGCAACAGUAGGUUUACAGCUAGGUUUAACACAGUCUGCAGGUAUAAAACGUUUUUUUAUGCCUUUUUUUUCUCUAGUUGAACAGAACCACAAUUUACCAAAAAAGAAUGAAAGAAAAAUACUUCCACUACAACAAUUAUUAUAUACACCUGUUACAAAUCUGGUGCAUACAGCAUAUAGUAUGUAUGUAUUAUAAAGGGUCUUGCAUGCACACCUUACGGCACAAUCAGUUAUUGACGAUUAUGUUAAUUCUGAGUGUGAAGGAAAUAUUAACGGAUGUUUAAUCCAGGAUUUGAAAAGGUUAAACUUUCCUUGGGUGUGAGUUGAACAAAUAUCAAACACACAUGAAAUGUCAAAGUUGGUCUUUGUAAACAAAUGAAAUGUCAGGGACAAAACUUUGGCCCAAGCCCUCCCUCACCUGGCUCCUCAUCUUCAGAAAGUCAUAUUUGUCAGACGUAAGAGGGCCGACCAAACAGGCUUUAUUUCACCGAGCUGACCUAUUAGCACCGUAUUAUUUGAACUGCUGAAUGAAAAGUGUCAGCGUGCCUUCUUCAACCCAUCUCAGGCAGUGAAGGUCAUAGGUAAGAUCCUCUGGCGCUUUCCUCCGACCUUCGCCUUCCGACUCUGCUAUCUCCUAUUUCUUCUGGCUGGCACAGAGUCUCAAUUCCUCCCAGUGUGGACGUUCUCCAAUGCACCAGCUCUGACUAUCAAAACAGCAGUCAUUAGGCAAAUUUGCCCUGGUGCAGGAUUACAUUAAUUAUCAUGGAAUUAUCACUUCAUUAAAGCAGGCAGAGAUAAAUUAUCUCUGAUGAAACAAAUGCAAAAUGAGGAAAUAAUGAUCAUUCCGCACAGAAAAAAAAGAUAUAUUAAGAGACUGCCAGUUGAAGGAAAUCACGUUAUUGUGUUCCUGAGAGUUCAUUCCUUAGAGAUACUGCGGUACGAUAGAGCCAGUGGGUUUUCCACAGCGGGCUUCGACGACCACCCACCCCUUUACCCAAUGCAGUGAAAGUCCCCUCCCCAAGCCCCAAUAGAGCCUGUACUUUCCCAGCAAAUUGCAAGCAUCAUUAAUCAUGCCAAAUGUAAUUUUUAAUGAAGGUCUUCAUCAGCCCAGCAACCCUCUUUGUUUCCUUGCAAAAAGCUUCAGCAGACUGCCAUUUUACAGGAGACUUUUCAUCGUUCUCACUGCAGCCAUGAUGAUGAUGGAUAUCCAGAUGAUCUCCAACCAGGUUCAUAUUGUGCGUUUGCUUAAAAGAAAAAUUAUUGCAAUUAUAAAAUAUAUAAUCCUCGCCGCUUUGGGAGCACAGGGGUAACGAGAAAUCUGGCAACUGAUAGUUAUUUGUCAAAGCGUUGAAACAUUGAACAAAUGAGGGAGACACCCUUAUUUUCCACACUACAAGAAAGGACAUGCUGGACAUGUUUAGCUCUUUUCCAAUGAUCUUUUUUGAAGGUCAGCAGAAGAAAACAAAUUACAUGGGUUGCUCAGAUAUUCUUUCCCCCAGUUUUUGGAUGAUUUGAAAGACUGCAGCAAAAGAACUCGCAGCUGGAAUUAUAAUGAUUAAAAUAACCUUACUAGCCAAAUAACAGUAGCCAACUUUCCACUCCCUGGCGAUAUCAACUGCAGCAUGUAGCCUAAGAAAAAAAGUAUUCCCGUUAAGCUUCAUACAUCGAUUGGGAGAAAAUAUUGUGAGAGAAUCACACAAAAAAUAUUGCCUCAAACCUUUUCAUUAUUCAUGAUUGUACUCCUUCCUGUUACAGAAGGCUAUCUAUUUGGUCCUUAUUCUUAAAGCCUAAACUGUCUAAAUCUGAUGUUGAGUUGUUUGAGACUUUGUUGCCCUAUAAACUGAAAGACACCUUUGUCUGAGAGGCCAGAGCAAUUCACCUCUCUUGUUGCCGCCAAUACUGUACUGCAAUAUGUACUCCUGCAGAAAAGCAAAAUAAAAUAAAAAUACAUGUCAUCAUGCAUAAAGCAGCAAACUAUCUCUGACACGUUGUAGGACCCAGUGUGAGUACAAGUACGAACCACGAGCCUAAUUAUUUAUAAAACAACAUGACAGCUAAGUUGUUGUUCUCAGUUAUCAUACUGGGUUCAAAACCCAUGGGUAUGUAACCGAAGACAGAUAAUUGACAAUAAAAAUCUCUAUCCUCAUCGCUGUUUCCAAUUACCUUCCCUCUUCCAUCGCAGUAGCCUGCUAUACACUGUGCUGGUCUAGGGACUUGAUGAACUGCACCACUGAAGCCUUAAUGCAGACUCUGCUGAAUCCCUUAAGGACCUUCUCCUAAUGGUAGCACACUGUUCCAUAAAAAUGCUAGUUUUCCUUGGAAAUUGAGGUGCAGGUUCAUUAGAAGCCAUCCCGUUGAGUUUGAGAAUGAGCUCCCAAGUGAGUCGGGGAGAGAGGCCAAAGGAACCACCAGAGACGGGAAAGGGAAGUUUGUAUUACACACAGUGUGUCUUUCUAGAUCUUUUGUAGACUUUUUCCCUCUCCCCGUCUCAUGCGGUGUUGGCAGUAUCACUCACGCCUUCCUUUCUGGGGAGGGAGGAGGGACCUCACACGAGGUUACGCAUUCUUCUUGAGAUCACAUUUAAACAAAGAGGCUUAAUUUGCACUGCUACAGUGAGACGCAUUGGCAAGAUGAGUCAGAAUACAACUUUCCAUAGGUCAGUAAUACUUUGGCAGCACUGACGCUUUUACACUUGAAACGAUUAGAAAUGGUAAGAAUAGAAAAGUCUUGUUGAAUUCAUCCUUUUUAUCCUGAACUGAAGGAUUUUGGCGUUGGAAUUCUUACAGCAUGGUGAUAUUUACACUGCUGCGCUUAGUACCCUGGUGUCGAGUAACAAACGUCAUUAACCACCCACGAGAAAUCUCUGUCGACGCAUUUGCGACGAUGCAACUACUCGCACCAUGGAGUACACUCUUUCUGUUCCGACGCCUCUUUCCGGAACACCUUCCUGUUCUACUUUUGUGAUGGAGACGUCGAUGUAGUCAAAAAUCGGUUCCAUUUUUUUUCCACCAACUGCACUAGCAGCUGCAUAAACCUGUGUUACAAAAUCCAGGCAUUCCAUUCAUUUUCUUUCAGAGAUUUGCCUAACAUAGAGAACAAUAACCAGCGUGCACUCUAUACACACCGUUCCAAUUUUCUCUCUGAGUAAUCUCUCAUUCUUCACUGCAGAAAAGUGAGAUCCGUUGAACCCUUUUUACCACCCCCCCCCGGUACAAGGACUACAAAAGCAUUCAUCUCCUGCAGUUUUAUUUACAAUGCAUAUGUUAAUAUGUUAACAUUUAAUUUGCAUAUGCAGACGACCUCGAUUAGUUUGAUCAUAUGAUGCAUAUGUUUGAAUUGUACGCUAUUCCAAAAAAAAGAGCUCCCUCACAUCUUUACCUUUUGUAAAGCAGCGUUCAAUUGGCUAAAAACUGGCUGUAACUUAUUAAAAAAUCACAUCCUGAAACGAAGUAAAGGGUUUAACUAAGUGAAACUCUCUCAGCUGACUGGGCGGCAUUUACAAAGCAACAAGAAGCCCGGUUGAAAGCACGUCUCCAUCUUUGUCUCAGAGCACGUCUCCAUUCUCCCCUCGUGGAGACAUUAUACCACAAUAUCGGAACAUAGCAAAUAGUUGUUGGUCUUCUCAAAUACUGUGGUGGGAUGGUUAUCUUAAAUCUCCAAACAGGAAGUGUCACUGAAAUAUAGCUGAAUCAAAAAAGGCCGAUGUCACAUUUUGAGAAAAUAAUAAAAACAACAAUAAGAAUUGUUAAUAACCAAUAUUUUUGGGAUCACAUUUCUCGACUGCAGCUCAGCAAAAACAACAGUUUUUUUUGUCACAAUGGCACAUCACAGGGAAAAGGAACCAGGAGACAUGCAGAACAGAACAAGUGUUUUUUUGUAUCCCAGCUGCCAGCCUUCCAUCUUUUCACUGUUUAAAUGGCUGCUGCUCUAUCAGCAGUAGAAUACAUCAUUCUUUAAGUGUGCGGCUUUUAUACAAAUAUCUUGGAGUUGCAUUGAAAUCAACACUGUUAUUGCCAAUAGUAUAUCAGCACAAAGUAAGCAGUAGUACUGACAAAAAAAACAAUCUUUUUUAACAGGUAAGCCGGGUCACAUGAGUCAGGUAAAUCCCUUAAAUCAACGACAGACACAUUUAUUUUCCCUUUACGCACUGCAAGGUGAAAAGGAGCAAUAUCUUGUAUAAGCACUUGUUCAUUCAAAGUCUUUUUUUUCAGAGCUUUCAGCCGGCAGUUCAGUUAGUUUGUUUUCUCAAGCUGCUUAAACGUGACAAAAAGGAUUAAACCUGACACACCUGAGAGCUGACCUCCAAGAGUUUAAUGCGACAGCGGCCGGCUCUCUAUUGCUUCAUGGUCAACUCAGUUGGAAUUUAUCAAUCAUAAAUAGACAACCCCCACUUUGUAACUAACAUACACACGGGAUCUGCUCCAGGGUGAGUGGAAUUGCUUAAUAGUUUACUUAUAAUUUCAAUAACCCAUCACGCUAAUUAUGUUAAGUCUGUAUGCGCUAUUGUCAGCUGAACCGCAAGACUAAUAGACACAAAUGGUGUUGCCUGCGAGUGGCCUUUUCAAAAAAGGUAGAUGCACUAAUAAGGAGAACAGGCACAAAAUAGAGAAAAUCACUAGUUUAUAAAUCAGUCAGACAGCUCUCUCUCAUUGAAUGCCUCCACUGACACUUCAAUUCAACAUGUUGACUCCGAAUGACUGCUGAUGAGGGCCAACUACAGCCGAUGGUGUCGCGCACAUUGCAAUAGCUGGUCUGUGACGGCUCCAAAGCGGUCAUCUUUAUUUGCCGUUAGCUCAGCACUUGCAGUGUAGAGUUAGAGAUCUGCCUCCCAAGAAGUUUAUUUUCAUCGUUGCAUUCCUCUUUCAGGUGAACACAAUGGAAGCAUUAUUUCCCCUGGUGCUCCACAUGAGAUGGAGGUCCGCGAAUUGAGCACUGAACCGUGUAAACUGUAAAGCCUGCUUGAAAACAUUAUGUUGUAUAGUAGGAGAACAACAAACGUCGGAAUCAAUAUGCCAUCAAAUGCAGUGUAGAUGAUGAAGAAAGCAGGUUAAAUUCAGCGGCAGCAUGAAUCACGCACAUAUGAAGAUAGAAAAUGUGCAGUGUCGGAAAAAACGGUUUAAAGUGUCUUAAUAUAUUGAAACCAAAUUUACUGCAAGUGCACCCUGCUAAAGGAUUUUGCAUAUUCUAGAAUAUUCUACAAAAUACUCACCUGUCUGCAAGCAUACCCCAGUAACCAUGAGAACUGGCACCUGAAGUAAAGGACUCUUUUGGUUUUGGCUUUUCAAAGCACUUUUUACUCUCACUUGGGACUGAAAUCCAUCUUUCGAAAUUACUGUAGCAGUGGAACAAUUGAUCCGUCCUAUUUUCCUUUACAAAAUUUCAUUCAACUGCCAAGAAAUGCAUAUUUGAGAUGGAUUCAAAAAAAGUAAUGAAAAAACGUUGUUUUCCGUUGAGUGUCACUCUGCUGCAGUCCAGAAGGGCAGAGAGGUCAAGCAACAUCCCCCCUCCGAUAAUGCAUGUCCAUGGAGAGGGCUGAUGAGAUUCAUUGCCCUGCUAUGGCUGGCAGUAAUGGAGGGUUUCAAAGGCCAUAGUCUUUAAUUUCUUGUCCCUGCUAUCAGAAUUCUAACCUCUAGAGAGAGGGGAGGUCAACUGCCCCUGUUCCCCAGAGCCUGCAUCCUGGGCGUUAGGGACUGAGAGAGGUGGUUGAGUUCAGACUGGGAUUGAUGCUGGAGAUGCCUGGCUGAGGGGUCCUGGAGCUCUUCGGACCCUCCUCACACAAAGAGGCUUUACAGAGAAGCUCCCAGGUCAGUCUUAUCAGGGCAUUACUAAUGGUUAUGAUAUGAUCUGUCUAGCAUCAUUUCCAAUUAAAGCUUGCCGGGGGAAUGUGCGCUGCUCCCCAUCUCACUGAGGACACACUGGCGUUCAGUGAAUGUAGACCAUUGUUUAAGCCACUUAUUUCAGUCAGCGAUCAAAGUUCCAUUGUGCACCACCACAAAGGGAAAUGGCAACUGGCCAGGCCUGUUGGAUAUUUAGUUGUGGUGGGGAAAUAGAGAGUGCAGGCUAAUCAGUCUUCUUACUGAUAGCAAUGACCACCAUUGGGACUAUGAGACUAACCUCUUCAAUACAAUGUAAAAAAGGUCUUCCUUCCUUUUGGCCAAGAAAAAUACUUCCUGGGGGGCCAUAAUUUCUACAAACUAUUUUUCGCUUCACACAACAGCCUCUGAGCUGAAAUGACUUUGUCUUGCAGUAAAGCCCCAACAGUUCCAAAGUAUGAACUUGUCAACCACAGGUAAGUGCCUGCCAGAAUCCACCAAGGACCUGAAACGUAGACUCGAGCUGUACAGAUUUGGUGUGAAGACACAUACCGGGCGAGGGGAGUUCAGUCCGGCGCCGUUUUCAUUCAUCUCCAACAGCGAUGAUAAUCGUCUCGCUUAAGGUGAGGAUCUGUGGCACAAACCAUUAUCUGUUUAGUAACUCUUGAAGAAUGGAAUGGAGAAAGGAAAUCUACUGUACAUGUUUGAUAUCAGCCUACAUAGCUUCUUUUUUUUUAUACUUGGUAGUUUUGGAUUUGCAACUUACAACAAAUUCCUGUGAGAGUAGAAACUUUUUUUUCUCGAACUUUGCUUCCUUUUGAAUCUCAAGGCUCGAACACUUCCCCUGCUUUUUCAGUUGGAGGAACAUUAUACAAGAGAUGUGCUCUGACUCAGUCUUAUUUGCAUGUUUGAAAUAAAAAAAAACUUGCAAACUGCAGUGGUCCAGGGAGAGAGAAUCAUUAUUUGUAGCUACAAUAAUUGAAGAUUAAGUCAUUGAAUUAAACACAUAUGUACCUGAUCAAAUAAAUCAGCUUAUUUUAUCUAUCUACAGAUUUCAUUAUUGUAUCACCCUUAAACUGCUGGCAACAGAACAUCAUUUUUUACAUUUAUGUUACUUCCCUCCGUAGAACAUGUUGUUGCCCACCAUUUAAUCCCACUGUGAACCCCUUAGUGAAAAGGAGUUGGUCAUAAUGAGGCCGGAGCAGCUGCAAGCCUUUUGAUGGAAUGAGGUCACUAGAGCGCCAGAGAUCAGUGAUUCUGAUUGGGGGUUGGUCACAUUGGCGUCUCACUCAAAAGAACUGGCAACAAACUAUUGUGUAUUGAAGGAAUGCAAUGACUGCAGGCCCUCCUUCUGCUCUUUUGCAAUGCAUGUCUGUGUCUGGAAUAAAUAAUUUUAAUUGUUCACUGAUUCCCCUCGUACCAUUCAGCUUAAUUAUAAUUGAAACAUUAAUAGGAUGUAAAUGGGAUGUAUGUCCUGGUUACCUUUGAUAUAGAUCUAGACUGUAAAGGAGAAUAUACUGCAUGUACCAGGAGUAAUCAAAUAUGCUUAAAUAAGCACCAUUUUAGGGAUUUACAAACACGGUUUCUGCCUUGCAUUUAAGGUUUGACCCUGGGGGAUAAUUGUGACUUGUGAAUACAAACUUAUCUAAAAAUAGUUAGAAAUAGUGCAAUAUUGUGCAACUACAGUUGUUUUUUUAGGUUAAUGGUUAUAAGACAGACUUCUUUAAAAUGCUUAAAUAUUUAUCCCUUUUGGUGAGACGCGAUACCUUGAGCUCAGGCGAGUUUUUUUAUGGAGACUCAUGGGUUUAAACUCUACUGAAAGGGCAUGUGUAACUCACACGAGUGGGGCAAAAUAGUGGUAUUGCCCACGAGAAGAAAACUUAGCUGGAAGAAACCCGAUCCUCCAUAUGGACUAGUGGAUGUGUUAGCAAAUUCGCUUUCAGACCAGCUUUCAUGUUGGCUCCACCAGAGGGUACAGAGGGAACGGCAAAUUAAUUAUAGAAAUGAAGCCAACCUCCUUUUCUUAUCACGGAGGGCAGCUGUGUGUUUUCCCCUCACUUGUUUCCCUUUUUCUCUCUCUACAGUGCCAGAAUGUUUCCUGCUCGACACCUACUCUCUGCUUCUCCUCAUCAAUCCAUACAAACUUGCUCAGGAGAAAGAUUUGUUCAUGAGGGAGGAGAAAAGUGGAGCCUUUAUUGAGUGGAAAUGUCAUAGAAAUGGUUGCAGACUAGCAGAGGAAGAACGAGACUCUGUCUUGCCUCCAAACUUAUUUCAUAGCUUUGAGACCCUUCCUCUCAAAGUUGACUAAUGGAUCAAUAUUUCAAGUGGGAUCUGGUGUAUUAAUGACAUUGUUCUCCUUGCCGUAAAAGUGUGUUAUCAACCAGCUGAACGCGAGUCUCAAUGACAGGCUACAUGGUCCUGAUCAGUGUCUUUGUUUUUUUGAAAACCAUUUUCAGAUUUGAAACGUCUCAAAAAUGUCAUGUGGGACCGACUCCAGCAAAUGAGAAGAGCAUGACCGUAAAAAAACAGACACUAUGGCACACUCACCUUACCUGUCGAACCAUGGCCAAAGGUCUUUCUUUGGAAUAAUGGGUAAGAUCGACAAUGAAUGCAUGGACUAUUAAUGGUGAGUUGCUGCCAGCCUCCACCUAAGCUUUUAAUCGUAUUAUGACAAAUAGAGUAGACAUCAUUCUAUGUGUAAUAGGGCUCUUUUAAACAACUGUCGUCAGACCCUCACAUCAUAAUAACCACUGUGAGUUUUAUGACAGACCUAGAACUAGUUAAACAGACGAAUAUGAUGCACUGUUUUAGCACACAUAUACAUCAUAUUAAUAUAUAUAUAUA
Molecule: long non-coding RNA, 30106 nt
Organism: Gasterosteus aculeatus aculeatus (three-spined stickleback)
Lineage: Eukaryota; Metazoa; Chordata; Actinopteri; Perciformes; Gasterosteidae
Source: Ensembl